Molecule: long non-coding RNA, 439 nt
Organism: Cyprinus carpio (common carp)
Lineage: Eukaryota; Metazoa; Chordata; Actinopteri; Cypriniformes; Cyprinidae
Source: Ensembl
CCUGACUUCUAAGGGGUGUUAUUAUUUGUGAUUACGCCAAACAGCCUAGAAUUAUAUCAGUACAACAUCACAUUUUUCUUUUCUGUUUGCAGGAAGAUUUGGUGUUGAUGGAGGAGGCAACAUCUUCAAGGCAAAACCUUAGACCUGAUGCAACAUCAUCCAGUGUCACAAUCACCCUUUAGGAGGCACUUGAAGACCAGUGCCCAAUAUGCACAGGAACAUUUCCAGUGUCAGAAGUAGACCUGCCAUGCCAGAUUUUGUGGAAACAGGUCGAAAUCCCCUCUGACCUCAAGAUUUUCUUCUGGAAGUGUUCUGGACGCGUUUUUGUUUUCCCUUUGCUUCACUUAGAGUCUUUCAUGUUGAGCAGAAGUUAAUUUCUCUGUCUCUGUUUCUCUGUUGCACUUGAUACAGAAUCUCUGGGUGAGCGUCACCAGCUGUG